Molecule: long non-coding RNA, 507 nt
Organism: Coffea eugenioides
Lineage: Eukaryota; Viridiplantae; Streptophyta; Magnoliopsida; Gentianales; Rubiaceae
Exons: 7
Source: RefSeq, a predicted model, not a curated record
AAAAUGGCCACCCGUGAAAGACAGCUGCUGAGGGGAAAAACGUGUUUUGUUGAUCUCCUGCUCAGAAAAGCAAUCCAUAUGGUGGUUAAAGGUUUGACCAAGACGAGGAUUCUCAAAUAUUACAUUCUAAGCACCUACUUGAAAUAAUGAAUGUUCAAGAAAUGGACUAUGGAGAGGAUAGUCUGCCUCUUAUUGAAGUAUUUCCUAAAAUUCCAGUCCAGCUAAUGCACUUUUUGGACAACUUUUUAUAGCUCAAACGAAGGAAGAACGAAAUAAGGAGGCUACUUUUCUUAUUUCAGCCUUCAAGGAUAAAAACAUGGCAAUAGGAGAUUAUUCAAAUAAGCUCUGGGAAGAGGAAGACAAAUAAACUCUUGAACGAUUUUCGGCAUUGUAAAGAGAUUGAGAAAUGCAAGCUUGAAUCAUAGUUAGUAAACACUGGUAUCCAAUUAUGCAUACAACUUGUAAUAAUUUAUAGAAGUUUUUUUUUAACUGUAUUCUUUAUUAAUA